CUCUCGACCAAUCAGAGUCCAGCAUUGAGUUUCUGGGCCACUCUUGUAGAAGGUGAUCUGUGUUGUGAGGGCGAGGGUCACGGUACACGGUCCACCACCAAUUUGUAGUAAAGAUUUUACGUGAACUGACGAUAUGAAGGCUGGAGCGUAUGAGUAUGAUGAAGAUGGAGAGAAGGCACAGGGUGUGUCUAAGAAGCCAAAUGGAUUACCAAUAUGGGGUAAUGAAAAGACUAUGAAUCUCAACCCUCUUAUCUUGACAAACAUUCAGUCAUCACAGUAUUUCAAAGUAAACCUUUACCAGCUGAAAACCUACCAUGAAGUGAUUGAUGAAAUAUACUACAAUGUGACUCACCUAGAGCCAUGGGAGAAGGGAAGUCGCAAAACCUCAGGCCAAACUGGCAUGUGUGGUGGUGUACGAGGAGUUGGGGCAGGAGGCAUUGUGUCGACGGCCUUUUGCAUUUUGUAUAAACUGUACACCCUUCGUUUAACACGCAAACAAGUUACUGGGCUACUAAACCAUGGUGAUUCUCCAUACAUCCGAGGCCUAGGGUUUAUGUACAUAAGGUAUACACAGCCACCUGCAGAUCUUUGGGACUGGUUUGAGUCUUACAUGGAUGAUGAGGAGGAAAUUGAUGUGCGGGCAGGAGGUGGGCAAACAACAACAAUUGGACAGAUUGUGCGUCAGAUGCUAUCCAAACUAGAUUGGUAUUCCACCCUCUUUCCUCGCAUUCCUGUGCCAAUCCAGAAGGACUUGGAGAAGAAAUUAGCUGAUCGUGCUGCUUCCAAACCAACAGUAACUGCAGCAUCUGUUAAUUCUGCAUCAGGCAAGAAUGACUGGUAUGGUACCAAGGGUGAAACUGAUCCAUCCACUCGAGAAACUGUACGAGCAUAUGACUCAGGGAAUAAAGAUUAUGUCUCAAGAGAAAGAGGAGGUGACCGGGAACGGGAAAGAGAACACGAGCGGGACCGUGAAAGAGACAGAGGAAGAGAUUAUGAAAGAGAUCGAGGGAAAGAUAGAGAAAGUGAACGGGGCUUAAACAGAGAAAGAGAUCGGGAAUAUGACAAGCGGAAUGAAAAAUCUCAUGACAGGCCCCGUGAACAACCUCGUGAAAGAAAUGGGGAUCAAGAAAAAGGUCGAGACCGACAAAGAGAUCGAGAGAAGGAUUGUGACCGAGAAAGAGACCAUGACCGUCACCGACAUAAAGACAAAGAGAGGAAAAAAAGUCGCAGUCGAAGCCGUGACAAGAAACAUCGUCACCGUGGUGACAGAUACAUGGAAGAAAAAAAUCAUAGAGAUUUUGAUGAUCUCUUAGAACGAGAGAAGUAUCGUAUUAAGAAGGAGAAGAAAAAGGAGGGCAGUCGAGAACGACACCACAGAAGUCGUUCCCGUGACAAAGAGAGGAAACAUCGAUAUUGAUCUACAGUACUUCUUCCCACGCAGUAUUUGGAACACAAAUGUGGCUAUUAUAGAACUAUUACCCACAAAUUUAUAUCAUUGCUCUACGUUUCCAUGGGCUUGUUAUGAAUUCUUGAUGGCAACUGUUGAAUAAAACCAGAAUGGGGUGUCGCACUCCCUUCUCACCAUAGCAAACACGGGGUUCCAGCCCAAAAGAUGCAGCCGAGACCGGAGGAUGGGCACAGCUCCGGUGACCCAGUUGUCAUCAGGCAUGUUGAAGCAAAGUUGUACAGGAAGAGGCCCUACCUUGUGCUAACCCACAAGGUAGGGACAGCUGGCUAGGCCGGGAUGCAAAUCCCUGAGGUAAUCAAAGACUACUCACCUGUAGCCUUUGAUUGUACAGUACUCAAUAUAUAUUUACCUAUAAAGUUACCUUCAAUAUAUGUACAGUAUGCCUAAUAAGGAUUUAAUAUGUACUGUACAGUAUACAUUAAUGAUUCUUAGCAAGUACAUUAAAUCCUCUUAUUUACUUUUUUCUAGUUCCAUUAUUUCACUUAACCGUAGUUGACAAAUGCUGAUUUAAAUUGCAUUGGUUCAAAUUAACGUAGUUUUUAAUAAUUCAAAAUUUGCAUGCUACCGUCACUACUUUGGGCAACCUCUAAAUAAUUCCUUCACCAUAUAUGGUGAGUAUUAUACUCUGUUGAUUUAGUAUACAGUACACUAAACCAUUGUUAUUCUGGGGAUUAGGUUCCAAGGAGUGUCAUGAAUAGGCAAAACCGUGAAUAGCAAUUUGUACUAUCUUAGUGCAACUACUGUAUAUGUAAACCAAACAACCAACCAGCUGGGGCAGUACUCAUCCCCUCCUUUAACUUGUCUAAUAAUUCAACUUUAUUUGUCAGGGUUAUCAUUGACUUAUGCCUUUUACGUUUCACUCCACUAACAUCACUAGCACUGACACUAGGCAGUCUUUUAGGGGCCGUUUUCACACACUAACACUGAAGUUUUGAAAGUACAACACAAGAUGCUGCAUCACAGGCAAUGGUUUAGCACGAACAGAGGAGAGGAGACAUUGCGGGCGCGUGGGGUGACUCGUUUCGCUGCUGGAAAAAGCUCGCAAGCUAGCCACCAUCUGCUUACCGUGAAUCGCAAACCCGCAAAUGGCAAGGGUCUACUGUAUAGUAUAUCAUAUUUCAAUGUGUAAAUAAGGCUUAUUUGAAUUUGCUUUGUUACUGUUUAAGAUGUCAAAGAUUUAAAACAAAAAAAAUUCAUAGUUGCUCUGCUGGCUUGCUGUGAUCAGAUGGAUUGUUACUGCCCAGCACUAUUAUUUUUUUUUUCUUAAUUGUUGCUCUUUGCUUCCUUUGAUAAAUGUGUAUGGUAACAAUUCAACCAUCUCUUGAAAUUUUUAGAUUCUUGGUUUAUAGUUAUAAGAAAAAUACCCAAGAAAACAUCAGAAUUACAUUAGGUAGCAUUUCUGUCAGCAGGCUGUAGUCUAACUAACCACCUGGCGCAACACAUCAGUUGAAAGAAUGCAACUCCUGUCCGAGUUCCUGUAUACAACAUUACAGCUAGGAUUUCACAGUGAUGUACACUCGCUACAAAAAGUAUCAGUGCAUACUGUAGUGUGAACAAUUUGAGACCAGUGACGAUAGGUAUUGGGAAAGGCGAGUUGUUCCAGCCAUAUGUUGGCAGCCCUGAUUGUCAGCCAUAU
This 3104-nucleotide unclassified non-coding RNA is filed under the name Homarus americanus (American lobster). Its description in RNAcentral is "pre-mRNA-splicing factor 38B-like, transcript variant X1". The record is from RNAcentral. Lineage: Eukaryota; Metazoa; Arthropoda; Malacostraca; Decapoda; Nephropidae.